Molecule: non-coding RNA, 74 nt
Organism: Danio rerio (zebrafish)
Lineage: Eukaryota; Metazoa; Chordata; Actinopteri; Cypriniformes; Danionidae
Source: Rfam
GGCUGGUUAGCUCAGCUGGUUAGAGCGUGGUGCUAAUAAUGCCAAGGUCGCGGGUUCGAACUUCGUACUGGAUA